GGGGAAUUUUGGACAAUGGGGGCAACCCUGAUCCAGCCAUGCCGCGUGAGUGAAGAAGGCCUUCGGGUUGUAAAGCUCUUUCGGCCGGGAAGAAAACGUGUGGGCUAAUAUCCUGCGCGGAUGACGGUACCUUAGCAAGAAGCACCGGCUAACUACGUGCCAGCCGCCGCGGUAAUACGUAGGGUGCGAGCGUUAAUCGGAAUUACUGGGCGUAAAGCGUGCGCAGGCGGUUGUGUAAGACAGGUGUGAAAUCCCCGGGCUUAACCUGGGAACUGCGCUUGUGACUGCACGGCUAGAGUACGGCAGAGGGGGGUGGAAUUCCUGGUGUAGCAGUGAAAUGCGUAGAUAUCAGGAGGUACACCGAUGGCGAAGGCAGCCCCCUGCGCCUGUUCUGACGCUCAUGCACGAAAGCGUGGGGAGCAAACA
This 426-nucleotide ribosomal RNA is filed under the name uncultured Azoarcus sp. RNAcentral describes it as "bacterial SSU rRNA". It matches the Rfam family "Bacterial small subunit ribosomal RNA", at positions 356 to 774 of the family's 1533-position model. The record is from RNAcentral. Lineage: Bacteria; Pseudomonadati; Pseudomonadota; Betaproteobacteria; Rhodocyclales; Zoogloeaceae.